RNAcentral lists this ribosomal RNA (433 nucleotides) under uncultured bacterium. RNAcentral's name for it is "partial 16S ribosomal RNA". It matches the Rfam family "Bacterial small subunit ribosomal RNA", at positions 29 to 507 of the family's 1533-position model. The record is from RNAcentral.
AACGAACGCUGGCGGCAUGCCUAACACAUGCAAGUCGAACGAGACCUUCGGGUCUAGUGGCGCACGGGUGCGUAACGCGUGGGAACCUGCCCUUAGGUUCGGAAUAACUCUCCGAAAGGGGUGCUAAUACCGGAUAAUGUCUUCGGACCAAAGAUUUAUCGCCUUUGGAUGGGCCCGCGUUGGAUUAGCUAGUUGGUAGGGUAAAAGCCUACCAAGGCGACGCUCCAUAGCUGGUCUGAGAGGAUGGUCAGCCACACUGGGACUGAGACACGGCCCAGACUCCUACAGGAGGCAGCAGUGGGUAAUAUUGGACAAUGGGCGAAAUGCUGAUCCAGCAAUGCCGCGUGAGUGAUGAAGGCCUUAGGGUUGUAAAGCUCUUUUACCCGGGAUGAUAAUGACGGUACCGAGAGAAUAAGCUCCGGCUAACUCCGUG